AACAACCUUCGGGGCAGGGUGCAAUUCCCGAUCGGUGGUAUAGCCCACGAGUGAUUUGGAGUGCAGAAGCUUGCUUCUGCAAUACGCCAGCAAGCUGGCUGAAUCCAAAUGACAUGAUUCGGUUCAACUCCGAAGCCGACAGUAUAGUCUGGAUAUAAGAAGGUAUAA
RNAcentral lists this non-coding RNA (168 nucleotides) under Chloroflexota bacterium. RNAcentral describes it as "Chloroflexi bacterium FMN sequence". It matches the Rfam family "FMN riboswitch aptamer (RFN element)". Rfam says of the family: The RFN element is a highly conserved domain that is found frequently in the 5'-untranslated regions of prokaryotic mRNAs that encode for flavin mononucleotide (FMN) biosynthesis and transport proteins. Lineage: Bacteria; Bacillati; Chloroflexota. The record is from RNAcentral.